UGAGACUCUCAUGAGGGAUGGGCUGA
RNAcentral lists this non-coding RNA (26 nucleotides) under Homo sapiens (human). Lineage: Eukaryota; Metazoa; Chordata; Mammalia; Primates; Hominidae. The record is from RNAcentral.